GACGAACGCUGGCGGCGUGCUUAACACAUGCAAGUCGAACGAAGUGGCGACCGGGUGAGUAACGCGUAAUCAACCUGCCCUUCAGCGGGGGACAACAGUUGGAAACGACUGCUAAUUCCCUAUACUGAAGGAGGGGAUUGCGUCUGAUUUGCUAGUUGGUGGGGUAACGGCCCUCCAAGGCGAUGCUCAGUAGCCGGUCGGAGAGGAGGAACGGCGACAUUUGGACUGGGACACGGCCCAGACUCCUACGGGAGGCGGCAGUGGGGAAACUUCCGUAAUGGACGAAAGUCUGACGGAGCAACGCCGCGUGGGUGAGGACGGCCUUCGGGUUGUAAAGCUCUGUUAGUCGGGACGCGGUACCGGAAUAGAAAGCCACGGCUAACUACGUGCCAGCAGCCGCGGUAAUAC
This 408-nucleotide ribosomal RNA is filed under the name uncultured bacterium. Its description in RNAcentral is "partial 16S ribosomal RNA". It matches the Rfam family "Bacterial small subunit ribosomal RNA", at positions 28 to 526 of the family's 1533-position model. The record is from RNAcentral.